This 393-nucleotide ribosomal RNA is filed under the name uncultured bacterium. Its description in RNAcentral is "partial 16S ribosomal RNA". It matches the Rfam family "Bacterial small subunit ribosomal RNA", at positions 523 to 918 of the family's 1533-position model. The record is from RNAcentral.
AUACGGAGGAUCCGAGCGUUAUCCGGAUUUAUUGGGUUUAAAGGGAGCGUAGGUGGACAGUUAAGUCAGUUGUGAAAGUUUGCGGCUCAACCGUAAAAUUGCAGUUGAUACUGGCUGUCUUGAGUACAGUAGAGGAGGGCGGAAUUCGUGGGGUAGAGGUGAAAUGCUUAGAUAUCCCGAAGAACUCCGAUUGCGAAGGCAGCUCACUGGACUGCAACUGACACUGAUGCUCGAAAGUGUGGGUAUCAAACAGGAUUAGAUACCCUGGUAGUCCACACAGUAAACGAUGAAUACUCGCUGUUUGCGAUAUACAGUAAGCGGCCAAGCGAAAGCAUUAAGUAUUCCACCUGGGGAGUACGCCGGCAACGGUGAAACUCAAAUGAAUUGACGGGG